AAUCACCAGGUUCCAGUUGACUCUUGUCCAUCCUGACUCUCAAUCUCAAAGUCAUAGCCUUCCUUAGAAUGAUGGCUUUCUGCCAUAAAGAAUAAUCAAAAGAAUGUAAUGUAUGAUUUGAAGAGGCCUCUUAAAAUAACUGAUUUUGUUGCACUUUAGGUUUACCUUCUCUUUACCUGAGAUGUUUGCCUGUACUUUUCCUUAGGUACCAAAAACUGUGGAAGAGUUAUGUGAAACUUCGCCACCUCCUAGCAAAUAGUCCCAAAGUCAAACAAACUGACAAACAGAAGCUGGCACAGAGGGAGGAAGCCCUCCAAAAAAUACGGCAGAAGAAUACAAUGAGACGAGAAGUAACAGUGGAGCUAAGUAGCCAAGGAUUCUGGAAAACUGGCAUCCGUUCUGAUGUCUGUCAGCAUGCAAUGAUGCUACCUGUUCUGACCCAUCAUAUCCGCUACCACCAAUGUCUAAUGCAUUUGGACAAGUUGAUAGGAUAUACUUUCCAAGAUCGUUGUCUGUUGCAGCUGGCCAUGACUCAUCCAAGUCAUCAUUUAAAUUUUGGAAUGAAUCCUGAU
This 572-nucleotide small RNA is filed under the name Pongo abelii (Sumatran orangutan). RNAcentral describes it as "retained intron". The record is from RNAcentral. Lineage: Eukaryota; Metazoa; Chordata; Mammalia; Primates; Hominidae.